GAUUACAGUCUGAGAGAAAGGUGCUGAGGUCACGGCCCCGACAGUGUGUGUUCCAGGCCAUCCUGAAAUCAGACAGAGGGACAUCAGUCAUCUCUCCACAUAUGGAGACUCCACUGACAAAAACAGGAAUUUUACUGAGCAGAACACAGGAGCUGCUGGAAUACCACUGCCUCUAUCUAUUAAAUCCAAGAUGGAUGUCUAGAGCCCUGCUGCCUGAGUACUUCAUGAAAGUUUCCUUCAUGUGUUACGUGCUCUGUGUUUGGUCUCCACCACCUCCGGAGGGAAAUCUCUGGACUCUUUAGCUGCUAAACGCUCCACUGUGUUCACCAGCUGCUCUCUGACUGAGUCUGCUGCUGUUUGCUGCUGGGAAAAACAAAAUGAAGUGUACUGCUGCAUCAGUAUCGCUGCACACAACAACAAAGGACACAGGCUGUUAUUUGGAGGAAACCAGAGCACCCAGAGGGAAUCCAUUCAAAUACAGGGGAGGAUAUAUGCAAACUCCACCCAGACAGGCCGCGGCCGCUUCACAGGUUUGAUCCCAGAACCUUCUUGUCAUGAGGCAACAGUGCUAAGUGUACAUGGACAGAGCAAGUGAAUGUUGAACAUGCUGACACGUGCUGACCAGAAUAUACUUAAAGUAGCAUACUGUGUACGUAGUUUGUGCACUGUGUGAACUGACGUCAUUAAAAAAAGACCUGUGUGCUCGUCUGUAUUCGCCCCUGACUGGUCUGGACUGUUUAACUGGUGCAGUUUGUUGGUGAAAAGAUGUUUAUCUCAGGACCAUCAGGCAACAUUCAGCGCUGAUGAGGUGCUUUCAAUCCACCUCCAAUAAAGUACUGAGUCAAGACUUUUAGUUUCAACACACACACACACACACACACACACACACACACACACACACACACACACAGAGGAUAAGCUGCAAAUAAACACCAAAAUAAGCGCUGUUGUCAGACAAACAUGUCAGGGAUUUUUGUUUAUGUUUUCAACACACUGAGGAUGCUGGCUGAGCAGCUACACUUGGCAGGACUCUGUUUCCAGGACACUGGACUGAUGGACUGAGGUUAAAACAACACACACACACACACACACACACACACACACACCUGGUGCAGCAGUGCUGCUGACCCAGCUCAUUUACACUCCUGUUAUCGUCAUCAGUACACAGAGGACGAGAUGUCAGCAGCUGUUUACAAAAACAGGGUCAGAGAGAGAGAGAGAGAGAG
Lates calcarifer (barramundi perch) is the source of this 1226-nucleotide long non-coding RNA. RefSeq lists it as uncharacterized. The record is from RefSeq and is a predicted model, not a curated record. The transcript is spliced from 5 exons. Lineage: Eukaryota; Metazoa; Chordata; Actinopteri; Centropomidae.